Sarcophilus harrisii (Tasmanian devil) is the source of this 2098-nucleotide long non-coding RNA. The record is from Ensembl. Lineage: Eukaryota; Metazoa; Chordata; Mammalia; Dasyuromorphia; Dasyuridae.
UGUAAGUCUCUUUUGUCUGGAGAUGAGGAUGUGCUGGGACCAGAGAGGAUGGAGGUCUGUGCGCCCUUCAUCCAGUUCCCUACCUUUCCGCCUUCACAGCGAUCUCCUCCAUUACCCCCAUCUUCCCUCAUCUCCGGACAGACUGAUCCUGAGGGUCCUGAGGAGCCUAAGCUGCAGGGAGUGAGGGGAGAAUGAUUCUUAAUCCUGCAAAUUGGAAUCAGUUUCUUCUAUAUCUUGCAUAUGCAACCACCCAUAGAGAUUUUUGCUGCAAAGGUCUUUAUCCUCAGGGAAGAAAAGAAAAGUGAGCCCAGCUGUUUGAUGCACAUGUACACCACCUGUGGCCCUCUCUCCUCCUAGAAGACGGAGGGUGAUGGUGUCUUCUCAUGUAUCCUUUUCAGUCUUUUACAUUUUCUUAUAGCUACUUUCCGUUUUUGUUUUGUUAUUCUUUCCAUAUAAAUUGAUUUUGUUUACCAAGUAUAUGUGUGUGUUUGUGUGUGUGUAUGUAUAAAGAGAUAGAUAGAUAUAGAUCUCUCUCUCCCUAUAAACACACACACAAAUAUUUAUAUAUAAUGUUUUUUUGGCUUGGUAUGAUUCAUGUUGCAUCAUUUCACAGAGAUCUUUCUCUGCUUCUCUAUACGCAACACACUCUUCAUUUCUUAUAACAAUAUUGUGAUAUUCCACAACAUUGGUUUCCAUGCCUUCUCUGGCCAUUACCCACUUGAGAGCAUCUACUUUGUUUCCAGGUCACAGCUGUCACAAAAAGUGCUGUUAUAAGUUUUUUGCUGUAUGUGGGGACUGUUUUCUUAUUGGUGCCUUCUCGUUAUGUAAUGGAUUAUUUGUUUUAAAGGCUUUGGAUAUUUUUGUUACUUUCUUUGCAUGAUUCCAAAAUUACAUCCCAGAAUGGAUGCUCUCCUAAUUUGCUUAUGGUUCUCCCUUCAUGUCUAAAUCGCCUACCCAUUUUGGUCUUACCUUGUUGUUGUCAUUGUGCUGUUCAUCCUUCUUUCUGGAAGAGGACCAAUGGCAUCUAGAAGCUCAUGACUUGCAAGUGAAUUGCAUUUAGGUGAGGCAGAGCUGGGCAAGGUCACCAGCCUCUCUCUGCUCCAGCGUCAGCUGAGCCCAGUGGCAAGACCUAGGUCAGGCAGACUGACCGUGGCACAGUAGGCAGCUGGAGACCUUUUUCUGUUUAAGCUAGGGCCCUUCCCUUGUCUCACUUGGUCCGAGGUAACAGUAAUUUAGUGAUUUAAGGCUCCUUAAGAAACGAGGCAAAAGAUGCCCUACUUUGCCUACUCAAUGAUAAUAACAACAACAAUAAUAAUAAUAAUAAUAAAAAUAACAAUGUGGGAAGGGAAGAACCUCAUUGUUUCUGCCCAGAAGAAACAACUGCCAUUUACACUCAGUCGGGGCCAUAAAACUCAAAUAAUGACCAAGUGGGGCUUAAGCUAGCAUCUACUAUUGAACACUCAGUGAAACCCAGAAUGAUUUGGGUUCCAGGAUUUGUCAAGUAGCUCCUUCUGAAUUCCAAUGGACUUCAUCAAAGUCUGGUUUUUCUAAGAAAUCCUACACGAACUGGAUGGAACAGAAGUGUUCAAUAUCGCAGUUUGUUUUGAAAAUAUAAAAUAACUAAGUGGCCACGAGACCAAAAUAUCUAGCCUCCAGACUCAAAGACAUGCUGUGAGGUUGAUGGGACCAAAUAACUAUUCCUUUGGACAAACAAGUGGCACAUGCUGUAAGGGGAUGAACUAUACCUAGUUUCUGCUAUACUGUUUUUCAGUUUUCCCUGGAAGUUUUUGCAUAUAGUAAAUUGUUUUCCAAAAAGAUGGGAUUUCUGUAUUUCUCAAACAGUAAAGUAUUAUGCACAUUUAAUACUGUGUCUUCUAUACCUAAAUCAUUCCACAAAAACACUAUCUAUUUCUUCUUUUUUUUUUUUUCAUUUUUUAAAAAAAAAGAAAAACAAAACAAUAGAAAAACAUUGUCAUAUGCACAAAAGAAUGUGAGAGGAUUUAAAAUAUAAAAUAAUAGAUUUCUAGUUCAAACAAUCAUGUAAUUAAUAGUACACAUUUUAUUCAGAACUGUCCAUCUAUUUUUUGCUUCCUCUUAG